This 941-nucleotide ribosomal RNA is filed under the name uncultured bacterium. RNAcentral describes it as "bacterial SSU rRNA". It matches the Rfam family "Bacterial small subunit ribosomal RNA", at positions 1 to 923 of the family's 1533-position model. The record is from RNAcentral.
UCGCCCUUAGAGUUUGAUCCUGGCUCAGGACGAACGCUGGCGGCGUGCCUAAUACAUGCAAGUAGAACGCUGAAGAGAGGAGCUUGCUCUUCUUGGAUGAGUUGCGAACGGGUGAGUAACGCGUAGGUAACCUGCCUUGUAGCGGGGGAUAACUAUUGGAAACGAUAGCUAAUACCGCAUAACAAUGGAUGACACAUGUCAUUUAUUUGAAAGGGGCAAUUGCUCCACUACAAGAUGGACCUGCGUUGUAUUAGCUAGUAGGUGAGGUAACGGCUCACCUAGGCGACGAUAUAUAGCCGACCUGAGAGGGUGAUCGGCCACACUGGGACUGAGACUCGGCCCAGACUCCUACGGGAGGCAGCAGUAGGGAAUCUUCGGCAAUGGGGGCAACCCUGACCGAGCAACGCCGCGUGAGUGAAGAAGGUUUUCGGAUCGUAAAGCUCUGUUGUAAGUCAAGAACGAGUGUGAGAGUGGAAAGUUCACACUGUGACGGUAGCUUACCAGAAAGGGACGGCUAACUACGUGCCAGCAGCCGCGGUAAUACGUAGGUCCCGAGCGUUGUCCGGAUUUAUUGGGCGUAAAGCGAGCGCAGGCGGUUUGAUAAGUCUGAAGUUAAAGGCUGUGGCUCAACCAUAGUUCGCUUUGGAAACUGUCAAACUUGAGUGCAGAAGGGGAGAGUGGAAUUCCAUGUGUAGCGGUGAAAUGCGUAGAUAUAUGGAGGAACACCGGUGGCGAAAGCGGCUCUCUGGUCUGUAACUGACGCUGAGGCUCGAAAGCGUGGGGAGCGAACAGGAUUAGAUACCCUGGUAGUCCACGCCGUAAACGAUGAGUGCUAGGUGUUGGAUCCUUUCCGGGAUUCAGUGCCGCAGCUAACGCAUUAAGCACUCCGCCUGGGGAGUACGACCGCAAGGUUGAAACUCAAAUGAAUUGACGGAAGGGCG